ACCCGGGCGAUUAAGCCAAGGUCUGCAUCACACCCGGGCGAUUAAGCCAAGGUCCGCAAUGAUUAUCCCACCCGGGCGAUCAAGCCAAGGUCCGCAUCCCACCCAGGAGAUUAUGCCAAGGUCCGCAUCCCACCCGGGCGAUUAAGCCAAGGUCUGCAAUUAUUAUCCCACCCGGGCGAUCAAGCCAAGGUCCACAUCCCACCCGGGCGAUUAAGCCAAGAUCAGCAAUCAUUAUCCCACCCGGGCAAUCAAGCCAAGGUCCGCAUCCCACCCGGGCGAUUAAGCCAAGGUCAGCAAUCAUUAUCCCACCCUGGCAAUCAAGCCAAGGUCCGCAUCCCACCCGAGCUAUCAAGCCAAGGGCCACAUCCCACCCCGGCAAUCAAGCUAAGGUCCGCAUCCCACCAGAGCAAUCAAGCCAAGGGCCACAUCCCACCCCGGCAAUCAAGCUAAGGUCCGCAUCCCACCAGAGCAAUCAAGCCAAGGGCCACAUCCCACCCCGGCAAUCAAGCUAAGGUCCACAUCCCACCAGAGCAAUCAAGCCAAGGGCCACAUCCCACCCCGGCAAUCAAGCUAAGGUCCGCAUCCCACCAGAGCAAUCAAGCCAAGGGCCAUAUCCCACCCUUGCAAUCAAGCUAAGGUCCGCAUCCCACCCGGGCAAUCAAGCCAAGGUCAACAUCCCACCCGGGCAAUCAAGCCAAGGUCAGCGAUCAUUAUCCCACCCGGGCAGUUAAGCCAAGGUCAGCAUCCCACCCGGACAGUCAAGCCAGGGUCAGCAACCCUCCCCAUUCCUCCGAGCUUGGGACCGGCUCUUAGUUGGGCUGGCUUGCCCCCCAAGAGGCUGGGUUAACAGUUUUGUUCCCCCUUUCUUCACCUCUUU
Long non-coding RNA from Eriocheir sinensis (Chinese mitten crab), 877 nucleotides. RefSeq lists it as uncharacterized. The transcript is spliced from 3 exons. The record is from RefSeq and is a predicted model, not a curated record. Lineage: Eukaryota; Metazoa; Arthropoda; Malacostraca; Decapoda; Varunidae.